AUUUAAAAAAUAAAAAAAAUAAUUAAAAUAAUCUUUUCAUCUAUCGUCUCUAGGUCUAAGACUCUCUUAGGAUUCUCAUCUUUAGAACUUCUCUCUUUCUUCAUCUUUUCUUCUUCUUCUCUCCCUCUUCCUUAAAAAAAAAAAUUAGAAGGGGAUUGUUCUGAUCUAGACCUCUUGAAAUCAAUUAGAAUAAUUUGAUAAAUUAGAUCUGUGCUAGGAAUAUGAAUUUCUAUAGU
Molecule: long non-coding RNA, 236 nt
Filed under: Elaeis guineensis (African oil palm)
Lineage: Eukaryota; Viridiplantae; Streptophyta; Magnoliopsida; Arecales; Arecaceae
Description: long non-coding RNA (EGUI_LNC019468)
Source: RNAcentral